UGCAUUUCACAGGAAGUGGUGUGGUUUGA
RNAcentral lists this non-coding RNA (29 nucleotides) under Mus musculus (house mouse). Lineage: Eukaryota; Metazoa; Chordata; Mammalia; Rodentia; Muridae. The record is from RNAcentral.